This 492-nucleotide ribosomal RNA is filed under the name uncultured bacterium. Its description in RNAcentral is "partial 16S ribosomal RNA". It matches the Rfam family "Bacterial small subunit ribosomal RNA", at positions 29 to 507 of the family's 1533-position model. The record is from RNAcentral.
AGUGAACGCUGGCGGUAGGCCUAACACAUGCAAGUCGAACGGCAUCACAUUAAGAGCUUGCUCUUACGGGUGGCGAGUGUCGGACGGGUGAGGAAUACAUCGGAAUCUACUUUUUCGUGGGGUAUAACGUAGGGAAACUUACGCUAAUACCGCAUACGACCUACGGGUGAAAGCAGGGGAUCUUCGGACCUUGCGCGAUUGAAUGAGCCGAUGUCGGAUUAGCUAGUUGGCGGGGUAAAGUCCCACCAAGGCGACGAUCCGUAGCUGGUCUGAGAGGAUGAUCAGCCACACUGGAACUGAGACACGGUCCAGACUCCUACGGGAGGCAGCAGGGGGGAAUAUUGGACAAUGGGCGCAAGCCUGAUCCAGCCAUACCGCGUGGGUGAAGAAGGCCUUCGGGUUGUAAAGCCCUUUUGUUGGGAAAGAAAAGCAGCAGGUUAAGACCCCGCUGUUCUGACGGUACCCAAAGAAUAAGCACCGGCUAACUUCGUG